Molecule: unclassified non-coding RNA, 156 nt
Organism: Chelonoidis abingdonii (Abingdon island giant tortoise)
Lineage: Eukaryota; Metazoa; Chordata; Testudines; Testudinidae
Source: Ensembl
CUAACAGCUCUGAAGACUGAAGUCCUCAUUAAUCCACAGAGCAGAUUCAGCAUGGGCAAUGACAGUGCAAAUAUCCUCAUACUGCGUCAGUUCUUCACACCUGACCUACAGUGAACAGUUGACUAGAUCUCCAUGUCCAUUUAAUCUUUGGCCUCU